AUAAUGGGUCAGCGACUUAUAUUCUGUAGCAAGGUUAACCGAAUAGGGGAGCCGAAGGGAAACCGAGUCUUAACUGGGCGUUAAGUUGCAGGGUAUAGACCCGAAACCCGGUGAUCUAGCCAUGGGCAGGUUGAAGGUUGGGUAACACUAACUGGAGGACCGAACCGACUAAUGUUGAAAAAUUAGCGGAUGACUUGUGGCUGGGGGUGAAAGGCCAAUCAAACCGGGAGAUAGCUGGUUCUCCCCGAAAGCUAUUUAGGUAGCGCCUCGUGAAUUCAUCUCCGGGGGUAGAGCACUGUUUCGGCAAGGGGGUCAUCCCGACUUACCAACCCGAUGCAAACUGCGAAUACCGGAGAAUGUUAUCACGGGAGACACACGGCGGGUGCUAACGUCCGUCGUGAAGAGGGAAACAACCCAGACCGCCAGCUAAGGUCCCAAAGUCAUGGUUAAGUGGGAAACGAUGUGGGAAGGCCCAGACAGCCAGGAUGUUGGCUUAGAAGCAGCCAUCAUUUAAAGAAAGCGUAAUAGCUCACUGGUCGAGUCGGCCUGCGCGGAAGAUGUAACGGGGCUAAACCAUGCACCGAAGCUGCGGCAGCGACGCUGAUGCGUUGUUGGGUAGGGGAGCGUUCUGUAAGCCUGCGAAGGUGUGCUGUGAGGCAUGCUGG
This 665-nucleotide ribosomal RNA is filed under the name Escherichia coli. RNAcentral's name for it is "partial 23S ribosomal RNA". It matches the Rfam family "Bacterial large subunit ribosomal RNA", at positions 612 to 1276 of the family's 2925-position model. The record is from RNAcentral. Lineage: Bacteria; Pseudomonadati; Pseudomonadota; Gammaproteobacteria; Enterobacterales; Enterobacteriaceae.